UUAAGCGACUAAGCGUACACGGUGGAUGCCCUGGCAGUCAGAGGCGAUGAAGGACGUGCUAAUCUGCGAUAAGCGUCGGUAAGGUGAUAUGAACCGUUAUAACCGGCGAUUUCCGAAUGGGGAAACCCAGUGUGAUUCGUCACACUAUCAUUAACUGAAUCCAUAGGUUAAUGAGGCGAACCGGGGGAACUGAAACAUCUAAGUACCCCGAGGAAAGAAAUCAACCGAGAUUCCCCAGUAGCGGCGAGCGAACGGGGAGCAGCCAGAGCCUGAAUCAGUGUGUGUGUUAGUGGAAGCGUCUGGAAAGGCGCGCGAUACAGGUGACAGCCCGUACACAAAAAUGCACAUGCUGUGAGCUCGAUGAGUAGGGCGGGACACGUGGUAUCCUGUCUGAAUAUGGGGACCAUCCUCCAAGGCUAAAUACUCGACUGACCGAUAGUGAACCAGUACCGUGAGGAAAGGCGAAAAGAACCCCGGCGAGGGAGUGAAAAGAACCUGAAACCGUGUACGUACAAGCAGUGGGAGCACGCUUAGGCGUGUGACUGCGUACCUUUUGUAUAAUGGGUCAGCGACUUAUAUUCUGUAGCAAGGUUAACCGAAUAGGGGAGCCGAAGGGAAACCGAGUCUUAACUGGGCGUUAAGUUGCAGGGUAUAGACCCGAAACCCGGUGAUCUAGCCAUGGGCAGGUUGAAGGUUGGGUAACACUAACUGGAGGACCGAACCGACUAAUGUUGAAAAAUUAGCGGAUGACUUGUGGCUGGGGGUGAAAGGCCAAUCAAACCGGGAGAUAGCUGGUUCUCCCCGAAAGCUAUUUAGGUAGCGCCUCGUGAAUUCAUCUCCGGGGGUAGAGCACUGUUUCGGCAAGGGGGUCAUCCCGACUUACCAACCCGAUGCAAACUGCGAAUACCGGAGAAUGUUAUCACGGGAGACACACGGCGGGUGCUAACGUCCGUCGUGAAGAGGGAAACAACCCAGACCGCCAGCUAAGGUCCCAAAGUCAUGGUUAAGUGGGAAACGAUGUGGGAAGGCCCAGACAGCCAGGAUGUUGGCUUAGAAGCAGCCAUCAUUUAAAGAAAGCGUAAUAGCUCACUGGUCGAGUCGGCCUGCGCGGAAGAUGUAACGGGGCUAAACCAUGCACCGAAGCUGCGGCAGCGACACUAUGUGUUGUUGGGUAGGGGAGCGUUCUGUAAGCCUGUGAAGGUGUACUGUGAGGUAUGCUGGAGGUAUCAGAAGUGCGAAUGCUGACAUAAGUAACGAUAAAGCGGGUGAAAAGCCCGCUCGCCGGAAGACCAAGGGUUCCUGUCCAACGUUAAUCGGGGCAGGGUGAGUCGACCCCUAAGGCGAGGCCGAAAGGCGUAGUCGAUGGGAAACAGGUUAAUAUUCCUGUACUUGGUGUUACUGCGAAGGGGGGACGGAGAAGGCUAUGUUGGCCGGGCGACGGUUGUCCCGGUUUAAGCGUGUAGGCUGGUUUUCCAGGCAAAUCCGGAAAAUCAAGGCUGAGGCGUGAUGACGAGGCACUACGGUGCUGAAGCAACAAAUGCCCUGCUUCCAGGAAAAGCCUCUAAGCAUCAGGUAACAUCAAAUCGUACCCCAAACCGACACAGGUGGUCAGGUAGAGAAUACCAAGGCGCUUGAGAGAACUCGGGUGAAGGAACUAGGCAAAAUGGUGCCGUAACUUCGGGAGAAGGCACGCUGAUAUGUAGGUGAAGUCCCUCGCGGAUGGAGCUGAAAUCAGUCGAAGAUACCAGCUGGCUGCAACUGUUUAUUAAAAACACAGCACUGUGCAAACACGAAAGUGGACGUAUACGGUGUGACGCCUGCCCGGUGCCGGAAGGUUAAUUGAUGGGGUCAGCGCAAGCGAAGCUCUUGAUCGAAGCCCCGGUAAACGGCGGCCGUAACUAUAACGGUCCUAAGGUAGCGAAAUUCCUUGUCGGGUAAGUUCCGACCUGCACGAAUGGCGUAAUGAUGGCCAGGCUGUCUCCACCCGAGACUCAGUGAAAUUGAACUCGCUGUGAAGAUGCAGUGUACCCGCGGCAAGACGGAAAGACCCGUGAACCUUUACUAUAGCUUGACACUGAACAUUGAGCCUUGAUGUGUAGGAUAGGUGGGAGGCUUUGAAGUGUGGACGCCAGUCUGCAUGGAGCCGACCUUGAAAUACCACCCUUAAUGUUUGAUGUUCUAACGUGGACCCGUAAUCCGGGUUGCGGACAGUGUCUGGUGGGUAGUUUGACUGGGGCGGUCUCCUCUAAAGAGUAACGGAGGAGCACGAAGGUUGGCUAAUCCUGGUCGGACAUCAGGAGGUUAGUGCAAUGGCAUAAGCCAGCUUGACUGCGAGCGUGACGGCGCGAGCAGGUGCGAAAGCAGGUCAUAGUGAUCCGGUGGUUCUGAAUGGAAGGGCCAUCGCUCAACGGAUAAAAGGUACUCCGGGGAUAACAGGCUGAUACCGCCCAAGAGUUCAUAUCGACGGCGGUGUUUGGCACCUCGAUGUCGGCUCAUCACAUCCUGGGGCUGAAGUAGGUCCCAAGGGUAUGGCUGUUCGCCAUUUAAAGUGGUACGCGAGCUGGGUUUAGAACGUCGUGAGACAGUUCGGUCCCUAUCUGCCGUGGGCGCUGGAGAAUUGAGGGGGGCUGCUCCUAGUACGAGAGGACCGGAGUGGACGCAUCACUGGUGUUCGGGUUGUCAUGCCAAUGGCACUGCCCGGUAGCUAAAUGCGGAAGAGAUAAGUGCUGAAAGCAUCUAAGCACGAAACUUGCCCCGAGAUGAGUUCUCCCUGACUCCUUGAGAGUCCUGAAGGAACGUUGAAGACGACGACGUUGAUAGGCCGGGUGUGUAAGCGCAGCGAUGCGUUGAGCUAACCGGUACUAAUGAACCGUGAGGCUUAACCU
Molecule: ribosomal RNA, 2885 nt
Filed under: Escherichia coli
Lineage: Bacteria; Pseudomonadati; Pseudomonadota; Gammaproteobacteria; Enterobacterales; Enterobacteriaceae
Description: bacterial LSU rRNA
Rfam family: Bacterial large subunit ribosomal RNA
Source: RNAcentral